AUGCAACCCCUACCCCACCUCCCUCCUGGCACCACCAUUGUCGCUCCUAGCCCCCUACGCGAGCAGAGAGGCUAUGUUAUCAUGGGUGGAGAGCUUCCCAUGGUUUGCGACGAGUGGGCAAUCGCCACGCUGGUUCCUGGCAUUGCCCCUGAGGAAUUCCAUGGCGCCAACGCCAUGAUCAUCAACUUCUUGGAAAACAGAGGCUGGCGAAUCAACUACUCCUCGCGCUGUGGUAUGGGAUCUGCUCUUAUUCAAUUCACUACUGCCUGCUCUCGGGACACCGCCAUUGCAAAUAGCCCUUAUCAGAUCGGAGACUCUGUUUUGAGGAUUUCUAGGCAGGACCGUGGCUUGAACUAUCGCAGUAUUACAUUUACUCAUGAUGUCUGGCUUAUGCUUAUGAAUUACCCCCUGGAAUGCUGGGAUGUGAACGUAAUUAGUCGCACUGUGACCCCCUAUGGUAGAUUUCUCAUACGGAACAAAGAUCCUAGGGACAAAACCAGAGUCAUUGUGAAGGUUAGAGUAAUUAACCCUGAUACUUUGCCCUUGAGCAUUGUUGUGCUGGGCAAUCUUGAUGACAUCGGUUAUGGAGACUCCCGGACAUGUCCUACUUACAUCUUAUCUAGAGAGAUCAUUGGACAACAGGGUGGUGAUGAAGAUCCACUGCCCCCUGAUGGUGGAAACCCUCACCCUCUGCCACAUAUCCAUGGUGGUUUCUGGCAUGAUGAAGUGAUUGGAAAUAUUCCUAUGGAACAAGUGGUUAUCAAUCCACACAAUGAGAACCUGGGUGCUCCAUAUGAGGAUGUGCAUGCUGCAGAUGGCCAAUUCAAUGUUGCAGAGACACAGGAACAAUUUCAGGUUGCUAUUGGCAACAACAUACCAGAUGCUGCACCUGCUGCUGGGAAUGAGGUUCCUGCUGCUAUGAAUGAGGUCCAUACUGCUGUGAAUGAGGUCCAUGCUGCUUUCAAUGAGGAUCAUUCUGCUGUAAAUGAUGCCAUUGCUGAUGGGAAUGAGAAUCAUAAUGUUGUGAAUGAUGCUCCUGCUACUGUUUAUGAUGCUCCUCUUAACUAUGUCAAUCACAAUAUUCCUCAGAGUAAUCAUGUGGAUGUAUCUGCUGCUAUGGAGGAAGAUUUCAUCCCUGUUCCUCUGGCUCAAAACAACCCUAUUCCCCCCCCCCCUCAGAAUACCAAUAUGAACUAUAAUGACAUCUCUGCUGCAAGCUAG
Molecule: ribosomal RNA, 1221 nt
Filed under: Triticum aestivum (bread wheat)
Lineage: Eukaryota; Viridiplantae; Streptophyta; Magnoliopsida; Poales; Poaceae
Description: partial small subunit ribosomal RNA
Source: RNAcentral